This is an RNA transcript of Pyrus x bretschneideri (Chinese white pear), 1429 nucleotides long. It is a transcript of the gene named two-pore potassium channel 4-like, with no coding region annotated. The record is from RefSeq and is a predicted model, not a curated record. NCBI's taxonomy places the organism in Eukaryota, Viridiplantae, Streptophyta, Magnoliopsida, Rosales, Rosaceae. The transcript is spliced from 4 exons.
UAUUCCCGUCUCCUUCUCCCCUGCAGUUCUCCUAACAAAAAUGGAAUCCCAAGAAAAAACCCCCACACAGCCCGCCGCCCAACGCCGUCGUUCGUCGAUCUCCGUCGAUCGGCUGUCUUCGUAGAUUUCACUCGUUCGUCGUUCAUCUUCUUCUAGAUGAGGAAGAGACGCGGAGAGGGAUUGGAGAGAAAAUUAAAGUGGAUUGGAGAUCUGAGAUUUCUAUGAAUUGCUAAUUCCUUAAUUUUCUCUCUCUUUUCUCACACCUUUGCUCUGUCAAUCCUCUCUGCGUCUCUUCCUCAUCUAGAAGAAGAUGAGCGACGGACGAGGGAGACUCAGAUCUCCAAUCCACUGUAUUGUUGUUAAGGAUACGGAUAAAGUGGAUUGUGGAUCUGUGAUGAAGAGGAGGUGGUACUUUGGCUCUUCAGUCGGGGAGAAUUUGUUAGUCAGACUAGGUGCCUGGUGUUGCUUCUGUGGAAGUAAUUGGAGGGCAUAGAGUUGACUUCCAUGAUGAGAGACGGGUUGGUGAACUUCUGAGGUUAAUGAUUGAACUAUUGGAGGGCAUAGAGUUGACUUCCAUGAUGACAGACGGGUUAGUGAACUACUGAGGUGCCUGGUGUUGCUUCUGUGGAAGUAAUUGGAGGGCAUAGAGUUGACUUCCAUGAUGGCAAAUGGGUUAGUCCCCCACUUCAAACUCUUCUCGUUCCUCUAAGUUCCAACUUCUACUGUCUCUGAGUCUUAUUCCAUCACGGAGGAACUGAAAUGUCGUAGGUGUUUGGAUCUGUUUCUUUCUAUUUUUGUUGGAGAUAUUUUUGUGUUUGAUUUUUGUUCCUUUAUGUGUAGGCAUUUUCUUUAAAUUUUGAUCUUCUUCAUCUUCUAUUGCACCAUUAAGUUACGUUGCUUGCUAAUGUUUCUUUUUCCUGUUUUGCAACACGAAUGAAAAAAUUAAGCCCAAUUAACCAUCAUUUAACAGUGAGAGCAAAGGGGAACCGCCCACUUUGUAAGAAGAUGCACAUUAACCAUGCGAAGUUACCAGAGUAUCGUGCUUUACUCUCAACAAGUUAAAGAUCUAAUGGAGUUUCAAAGUUACAAGCACUCUCUUCGGGUUGGGGUUCGUUUCUUCUUUUUUUCAAAUCCUUUUCCAAUUCUGUUUCCUCAUCUUUAAACAUUCUAAUUUGCUUUUUUAUUUGUUUUAUUGGUUUACAAAGUUACCUAUGGUAAAUAUAAUACAGCUUUCUCUGUCAGUUUUGUAUUUUUUGGUUAUAAGGGCAUUUGUGUCCUUUUCUUUAUUGAAGCAUUUUGACCCCAAACAGGGACUGCCUUUUAUAAUAGAGGAGAUUUGGGGUCAAAGGGUCCUAGGAUCAUUAACCAAGGGAGAGAGGGUGAGUUGGGAGGAGAGAAGGCUUGUUUUACCUCAUCUUGCCUCAAAUUC